CUUAUGAGGAAAUUACUUUUUAGCAAAGCUAAGCAUUUUGUUGAGUCAUGCAAUCUGAAAGUACUUUUUCACCAUGAAACAAAUAACAUUUUGAAAAGAAAGCUUAGUUACUAUUGGUAAUUCUGAGCUUAUUAGUAUUAGCAGAAAUGCAGCUCAAAAUACACUUUUUUUUCCUAUCCAUACUAAACCUGAAAGUUUCCUUUCUCUAAUCUCCCUGCAGCACUGGAAGCAGAACCAGCCCUGCUAACUCAAGAUGAUUACAGUAAUGUACUGCAGAGCAUAACAAACUUUGAAAUGUACUGACUGACCCAAAAGCCAUAUCACACUUCUCAGCAUGUUACUGAAAACCUGCCAAAGGAUGUUAACGUAUGAAGAGGCCAUUUGAUUUGCAAGACGGUAUACUGUGUUUAAUUUAAGUCUGGAACUAUCUGAAGGACUAUUUUAAACCAUAUGAAAGGUAUAGUACUAUGUUUCUAUAGAAUGCUGGAAUUCUAAAACAGGAUAGUGUGGCCAUGUGAAGUGCCAUGGUACCUAGACCACUACAUUUGAAUGUCAAUUAUGUUUUUGUGUACCUCACAUGGGAAAUCUCUUCAGGUUAGCAGCAUGGAGUGCACUAAUACCUUUUCCAAAUACCUGACCCUUUUCAGCUGAUCAGAGAAAGGGGGCUGGAUGUCCUGAGGCAACCCACGUCCCAGAGAGACUUUCUGCAGUAGGCCUGAUUCCUGACUGCACAAAACACAAAAAUAUCUAUGCACAAAGAAGGAAGUAAAGACCAGGGUAGCUUGGUCUUUCUGAAUUUAGUUACCAUGCCGUACUCCAUGAAGAUGAGCAGGAGUACCAGGCACUGAGUUCAUAUAUAUUUUGGCCAGCCCGAUUCUGCUUGACAGCUCUAAUUAUUCUGGGGCUGAACUAAGCAUCUCUUUGUGGUCAUGGUUUCAGUUUCUCUUCUGCAGCAGGAAUGUCUGGAGUUGCCUGCCUGCAAGGCAGGUCAGUAUCAUUAACCACACCUUAGAGGCACAAAAAAUAAAUUAAAAAAAAAAAAAAAAAUCAAGUGUCUUGUCAGAGGUCACCCAGCAGCAUCAGCGCCAGGAAUAGAACCCAGGGCUCUGGUAUCCCAGACUAACUCAUGACUCACAUUGACCCUCUUGCCGGCAGCUCUGAAGGCAGAAGGAGAACUGUCUGGGGUCUUCAGAGGCUGGGCCACACAACACUUCCUGCCAGUGAAUGGCAGAUCUUGUUCCACCCUCCAAUGCUACAAGUAGGAUGAAGACUCACUGGAACAGAACUGUGGCCCUCAGUAUGGGAGAGAAAGUGACUUUAUGACACAAAGCAUGGGAGCUCGAUAUUUGAGAUUAACUACUAUAAAUCCUUGUGAAAGAAAAAUGUGGCACUGGGGGUACAUCGUAAAGUUACAAGAGACUGAGUACUCAAGCUUGCUGCAAGAUGAUGGGAAUCAAUGAGAAGUGUUGAAGGCAACCCUUAAUAUGGAAAACUGCAAGAAAUCUCCCAAUUGCAGAAGAAGAGAGAAGAAGUGCAGCAAACAUCUCCCAAUAGCAGAAGGCAGGGAGAAGGUGUAACAAAUUAAAGAGGAUCUGAACUCAAGAUUCAUCACAACAGCAUGAGAGAUAAUGACAUCAACAUCUCAAGUGGAAGCAGGGAGGUGUCCUUCCUUGCCUUGUCAUACUCUUUCGGGAUAAACAAGAACCCUGACCUCAGGUUCUAGUAGACAAGUAAAAACUAAUUUUCAAAUAAGUUGUUUUUUACAUUUGUCAUUUUAAAAAUCGACUACAUAGUCUGUUAUUUCUUGUCUACUCCUGAGAAAUGCUGAAGACCCAACAAUUGCCAUCAAUAGCUGUGGGUUCCUCUGAUUUUUUCCAUUGCUACCUUAAUUUUAAUUUCUCAUUCAAAAAGGGGAAAUUUUAAAAAUCAUUUCAUCAGUUGACGUUAUAAAAGUAGUUCCAUUUUCAGCUGGUUCAAACUUAAGUAAUCAAGGUGAAAAACUGGUGACUUUACAUUUGAUCAGACAAAUGUCACAGACAUGGUGAGCCAAAUUAAUUUCUGGUGUAACUCAAGUGACACCAUCCCUGAGUCUUAGUAAGUCAAACAUUCCAUGGAGAGACACCAUGAAAUCUAUGGGGUACACUGCAAAUAUGUUCUAGUUUGCCGAGUAUUGUAUUGAGCCAAAUUCAUCUCCAGUAUUGUGGCAGCUUGAAAUCAGACUUUGCAAUUUAAAUUGUACAGCAUUUUUGAAGAAGUUUACCUAUUUGCAUUACAUGCAUAUAUUUACAAAUAAAAAUGGGUUCUUUUUACAUGAGUGGUUUAGUCAUCUGAAAUUGAAUUUAUACAAACUCAGACUAAUCCUGAAAACCUUCCACACAUGCAACUCUCACAGACUUCAUUGUUUGUUGCAAACACACAGUUUGUAGAAUUGGGACCCAAGAAUGUGAAAAAUAUUUGAUUCAGAUGUAAAUUGUAAAUAAAUCUAGCCUUUCAUAAAGGAAGUGUUCAGAUAGUGCGCCCAAAAAAUAGAAUAAUGAAUCCUCAAUAUUUAAAUGGUGUUACAUGUAAUAUAUUAAAAAUGUAAACUAAAUUUAAGUUCUAUUUACAUUCAGUAGGUGUAAUUACUGCUUAAAAGUGUAACCAUUUUAUCUGACAGAUGCACCAGCUGGUAUUAGGUAUCCCAGUAUAUCCAAAUAAGGGAAAUUUUCACAUCUCCAUUGUCUCAUCAGGACAGAAGGAGAGAAAUCGUCUCUUGAAUGUUCAGUUUAACUUUUGCCUACUGAUAUUUUCAAACCUGGAUGCCUAAGUUAAGCUCCUGAACAGCACACACAUUUUCAAAAGGUGCUGGGCUCCUGUAACUCCUAUUGACCUCAAUGGAAUUUGAGAGGGCUCUGCCAUUCUGACGAUCAAGCCACUAUUUUGGAGCCUAAUUUUAGGCACCCAGGUUGGAAAAUUUUAGCUUGAAUAUUCAAAAAAAAAAAAAAAUUCCCCACUGUUUCUUCACUUCCCUACAUGAUAAUGCUACUGUAAUUUCUGCAAUAUGUUGAUACAUUACUUUACUCCUGUAGACUGAGAUAGCCUAGAUUACCAUCACUGACAUGCUUCUCAAAUGGCAUGUCACAAUAAUUAGCACCAUGUAAUUAAUAUUUUUCUUAAUUCAAGAUUAAUAAAGCUGUACUUAUAAUAAAGUUUUAAUAUAUGACCUCCUACAAAGUAAUUUCAAAGAUUCAAGGGAUACUGUAAUACAGGAAUAGACUGAAAACUAAUAUUUCACUGACAAAUUGUGUAAUUAACAAGGGGAGCAGCAAAUGAAGUGUAAUUAGGAUGCAGAACAUCCUAUAAGGAAAUCAGCACUGUUAGCUAGCCUUCUAUACUUCCAGUUGUAUCUAAACCCUAUUUUAUUCUUAGUGCACUGUUUAGUCCUCCUUCAAGAAAAAUCUAAUGUGUAUGAAAUGUCUUAAUACUGGAUUAUUCUCGGACAAGUUUUGAAAAAUUUAAAUUUGUUUGCAUAGAUAAAGGUAAAACAAUUUUAAUCUUUGUAUUUCUUAACAAUACAUAUAGGUUUAUUUAAAAUUUAUUCCUACUUAUGGCUCAAUUCCUAAAUAAUUUAAAUUUAAAUAUGGCAGUUUUAAUUCUAAAAUCAAAUGCAGAAUGUCUAUUCCAGAUAGAAGAUCUAUUCCAAAUAUUAAAUCUAUUUCUUAACGAACACAGAAGAACAAUGUGGUGUUCCACAUCUAGAAAUGGGCUGUAAUAGUAUCAUAGUUUCAACUGUGGCCAAAGCAACUAUGCAAAAUAAGAUGGCAUUUUGCACAUACAGCAUACCAACCUGUCAAACGGGCAAUGGGUAGCAAAAACUUCAAACGGGAGGUCAAUCCUUCAAACUAAAAACGUUUACUUAAGACUACUGAAACUGAACUAUUAUUCUAAAGCCCUAAGGACAAGGAUCAGUAUACCAAAAUCAUUCAUUGUUAUGGUAGUUAGAACAAAACCAAACCAAAAAAUAAAAGAAAGUUGAUAUACCCUCUACUAGCUGUAAGCAAAUCAUAAAUUAUACCUGCUCAUAACAAUAUAAACCCACC
Molecule: long non-coding RNA, 4079 nt
Organism: Dermochelys coriacea (leatherback sea turtle)
Lineage: Eukaryota; Metazoa; Chordata; Testudines; Dermochelyidae
Exons: 5
Source: RefSeq, a predicted model, not a curated record